RNAcentral lists this ribosomal RNA (213 nucleotides) under uncultured bacterium. RNAcentral describes it as "partial 16S ribosomal RNA". It matches the Rfam family "Bacterial small subunit ribosomal RNA", at positions 524 to 736 of the family's 1533-position model. The record is from RNAcentral.
GACAGAGGGUGCAAACGUUGCUCGGAAUCACUGGGCGUAAAGGGCGUGUAGGCGGGAAGGAAAGUCGGGCGUGAAAUCCCUGGGCUCAACCCAGGAACUGCACUCGAAACUUCUUUUCUUGAGUGCCGGAGAGGAAAGCGGAAUUCCUGGUGUAGAGGUGAAAUUCGUAAAUAUCAGGAGGAACACCAGUGGCGAAGGCGGCUUUCUGGACGG